RNAcentral lists this ribosomal RNA (839 nucleotides) under uncultured bacterium. RNAcentral's name for it is "bacterial SSU rRNA". It matches the Rfam family "Bacterial small subunit ribosomal RNA", at positions 616 to 1456 of the family's 1533-position model. The record is from RNAcentral.
GGGAACUGCGUUNUGAACUGGGUGACUAGAGUGUNUCAGAGGGAGGUAGAUUUCCACGUGUAGCAGUGAAAUGCGUAGAGAUGUGGAGGAAUACCGAUGGCGAAGGCAGCCUCCUGGGAUAACACUGACGUUCAUGCCCGAAAGCGUGGGUAGCAAACAGGAUUAGAUACCCUGGUAGUCCACGCCCUAAACGAUGUCGAUUAGCUGUUGGGCAGCAUGACUGCUUAGUAGCGAAGCUAACGCGUGAAAUCGACCGCCUGGGGAGUACGGUCGCAAGAUUAAAACUCAAAGGAAUUGACGGGGACCCGCACAAGCGGUGGAUGAUGUGGAUUAAUUCGAUGCAACGCGAAGAACCUUACCUGGUCUUGGCAUGUACGGAACCCUCCAGAGACGGAGGGGUGCCUUCGGGAGCCGUAACACAGGUGCUGCAUGGCUGUCGUCAGCUCGUGUCGUGAGAUGUUGGGUUAAGUCCCGCAACGAGCGCAACCCUUGUCAUUAGUUGCCAUCAUUAAGUUGGGCACUCUAAUGAGACUGCCGGUGGCAAGCCGGAGGAAGGUGGGGAUGACGUCAAGUCCUCAUGGCCCUUAUGACCAGGGCUUCACACGUCAUACAAUGGUCGGUACAGAGGGUAGCCAAGCCGCGAGGUGGAGCCAAUCUCACAAAACCGAUCGUAGUCCGGAUUGCACUCUGCAACUCGAGUGCAUGAAGUCGGAAUCGCUAGUAAUCGCAGGUCAGCAUACUGCGGUGAAUACGUUCCCGGGUCUUGUACACACCGCCCGUCACACCAUGGGAGUGGGGGAUACCAGAAGUAGGUAGGGUAACCGCAAGGAGCCCGCUUA